UUGGAGGGCAAGUCUGGUGCCAGCAGCCGCGGAAAUUCCAGCUCCAAUAGCGUAUAUUAAAGUUGUUGCAGUUAAAAAGCUCGUAGUUGAAUUUCGGGAUUAGUACGUUGGUCGUGCCUUCGGUACGUACUGGUGUAACUGAUUCCUACCUUCUGACGAACCAUCAUGUCAUUAAUUUGGUGUGGCGGGGAAUCAGGACUGUUACUUUGAAAAAAUUAGAGUGUUUAAAGCAGGCUCGCGCUUGAAUACAUUAGCAUGGAAUAAUGAAAUAGGACGUUGAUCCUAUUUUGUUGGUUUCUAGGAUUGACGUAAUGAUUAAUAGGGAUAGUUGGGGGCAUUAGUAUUCAAUUGUCAGAGGUGAAAUUCUUGGAUUUAUUGAAGACUAACUACUGCGAAAGCAUUUGCCAAGGAUGUUUUCAUUAAUCAAGAACGAAAGUUAGGGGAUCGAAGACGAUCAGAUACCGUCGUAGUCUUAACCAUAAACUAUGCCGACUAGGGAUCGGAUGAUGCUAUUUUUAAUGACUCAUUCGGCGCCUUACGGGAAAC
Molecule: ribosomal RNA, 546 nt
Filed under: uncultured Glomeromycotina
Lineage: Eukaryota; Fungi; Glomeromycota
Description: SSU rRNA
Rfam family: Eukaryotic small subunit ribosomal RNA
Source: RNAcentral